GGAGAGGUGCCAGAGCGGUCGAAUGGGCCACCCUGGAAAGGUGGUGUAUCGGUAACGGUACCAAGGGUUCGAAUCCCUUCCUCUCCGCCA
Molecule: transfer RNA, 90 nt
Filed under: Candidatus Yonathbacteria bacterium
Lineage: Bacteria; Candidatus Yonathiibacteriota
Description: tRNA-Ser
Rfam family: tRNA
About the family: Transfer RNA (tRNA) molecules are approximately 80 nucleotides in length. Their secondary structure includes four short double-helical elements and three loops (D, anti-codon, and T loops).
Source: RNAcentral